GCCCUCUUAGCUCAGUAGGCAGAGCGCAAGACUUUUAAUCUUGUGGUCGUGGGUUCGAGCCCCACAGAGGGUG
Molecule: non-coding RNA, 73 nt
Organism: Baffinella frigidus
Lineage: Eukaryota; Cryptophyceae; Cryptomonadales; Baffinellaceae
Source: the annotation of a GenBank genome assembly